GACGAACGCUGGCGGCGUGCUUAACACAUGCAAGUCGAACGGAAAGGCCCUGCUUUUGUGGGGUGCUCGAGUGGCGAACGGGUGAGUAACACGUGAGUAACCUGCCCUUGACUUUGGGAUAACUUCAGGAAACUGGGGCUAAUACCGGAUAGGAGCUCCUGCUGCAUGGUGGGGGUUGGAAAGUUUCGGCGGUUGGGGAUGGACUCGCGGCUUAUCAGCUUGUUGGUGGGGUAGUGGCUUACCAAGGCUUUGACGGGUAGCCGGCCUGAGAGGGUGACCGGCCACAUUGGGACUGAGAUACGGCGCAGACUCCUACGGGAGGCAGAAGUGGGGAAUAUUGCACAAUGGGCGGAAGCCUGAUGCAGCAACGCCGCGUGCGGGAUGACGGCCUUCGGGUUGUAAACCGCUUUCGCCUGUGACGAAGCGUGAGUGACGGUAAUGGGUAAAGAAGCACCGGCUAAAUACGUGC
RNAcentral lists this ribosomal RNA (469 nucleotides) under uncultured bacterium. RNAcentral's name for it is "partial 16S ribosomal RNA". It matches the Rfam family "Bacterial small subunit ribosomal RNA", at positions 28 to 508 of the family's 1533-position model. The record is from RNAcentral.